AUUGAACGCUGGCGGCAUGCUUUACACGUGCAAGUCGAACGGUAACAGGUUAAGCUGACGAGUGGCGAACGGGUGAGUAAUGCAUCGGAACGUGCCCGAUCGUGGGGGAUAACGCAGCGAAAGCUGCGCUAAUACCGCAUACGAUCUGAGGAUGAAAGCGGGGGACCGUAAGGCCUCGCGCGAUCGGAGCGGCCGAUGUCAGAUUAGGUAGUUGGUGGGGUAAAGGCCUACCAAGGCGACGAUCAGUAGCCGGCCUGAGAGGGUGAACGGCCACACUGGGACUGAGACACGGCCCAGACUCCUACGGGAGGCAGCAGUGGGGAAUAUUGCGCAAUGGGGGAAACCCUGACGCAGCGACGCCGCGUGAGCGAUGAAGGCCUUAGGGUUGUAAAGCUCUGUUUUAAGGGACGAAUGUUACGGGGAGUAAUAUGCCCUGUAAAUGACGGUACCUUAAGAGGAAGCCCCGGCUAACUACGUGCCAGCAGCCGCCGUAA
RNAcentral lists this ribosomal RNA (494 nucleotides) under uncultured bacterium. RNAcentral's name for it is "partial 16S ribosomal RNA". It matches the Rfam family "Bacterial small subunit ribosomal RNA", at positions 29 to 523 of the family's 1533-position model. The record is from RNAcentral.